AAUAGAUACCCCGGUAGUCCACGCCGUAAACGUUGGAUACUAGGUGUGGCGGUCUACCAACGACUGCCGUGCCGAAGCUAACGCAUUAAGUAUCCCGCCUGGGGAGUACGGCCGCAAGGCUAAAACUCAAAGGAAUUGACGGGUCCCCGCACAAGCGGCGGAGCAUGCGGCUUAAUUCGAUGCAACCCGAAGAACCUUACCUGGGUUUGACAUCAUGGGAAAAGCCGUAGAAAUACGGUGUCCGAAAGGGCCCAUGACAGGUGGUGCAUGGCUGUCGUCAGCUCGUGUCGUGAGAUGUUGGGUUAAGUCCCGCAACGAGCGCAACCCUUGUCCUAUGUUGCCAGCGGUUCGGCCGGGGACUCAUAGAAGACUGCCGGGGAUAACUCGGAGGAAGGUGAGGACGACGUCAAGUCAUCAUGCCCCUUAUAUCCAGGGCUGCACGCAUGCUACAAUGGCCGGUACAACGGGAAGCGACCCCGCGAGGGUGAGCGAAUCCCUUAAAGCCGGUCCCAGUUCGGAUUGAAGUCUGCAACUCGACUUCA
Molecule: ribosomal RNA, 542 nt
Filed under: uncultured bacterium
Lineage: Bacteria
Description: bacterial SSU rRNA
Rfam family: Bacterial small subunit ribosomal RNA
Source: RNAcentral